GACGAACGCUGGCGGCGUGCCUAAUACAUGCAAGUAGAACGCUGAAGGAGGAGCUUGCUUCUCUGGAUGAGUUGCGAACGGGUGAGUAACGCGUAGGUAACCUGCCUGGUAGCGGGGGAUAACUAUUGGAAACGAUAGCUAAUACCGCAUAAGAGUAGAUGUCGCAUGACAUUUGCUUAAAAGGUGCAAUUGCAGCACUACCAGAUGGACCUGCGUUGUAUUAGCUAGUUGGUGAGGUAACGGCUCACCAAGGCAACGAUACAUAGCCGACCUGAGAGGGUGAUCGGCCACACUGGGACUGAGACACGGCCCAGACUCCUACGGGAGGCAGCAGUAGGGAAUCUUCGGCGAUGGACGGAAGUCUGACCGAGCAACGCCGCGUGAGUGAAGAAGGUUUUCGGAUCGUAAAGCUCUGUUGUAAGAGAAGAACGAGUGUGAGAGUGGAAAGUUCACACUGUGACGGUAUCUUACCAGAAAGGGACGGCUAACUACGUG
This 495-nucleotide ribosomal RNA is filed under the name uncultured bacterium. RNAcentral describes it as "partial 16S ribosomal RNA". It matches the Rfam family "Bacterial small subunit ribosomal RNA", at positions 28 to 507 of the family's 1533-position model. The record is from RNAcentral.